This 433-nucleotide ribosomal RNA is filed under the name uncultured bacterium. RNAcentral describes it as "partial 16S ribosomal RNA". It matches the Rfam family "Bacterial small subunit ribosomal RNA", at positions 39 to 507 of the family's 1533-position model. The record is from RNAcentral.
GGGGGGGGGGGGGGGGGGGGGGGGGGGGGGGGGGGGGGGGGGGGCGGGCGGGGGGGGGGGCGGGCGGGGGCGGGGCGCGGGGGGACCGGGCCUUAGGUUCGGGGUGACUCCCCGAGGGGGGUGCUACUACCGGGUAAUGUCUGCGGCCCAAAGAUUUAUCGCCUUUGGAUGGGCCCGCGUGGGAUUAGCUCGUUGGUAGGGUCAACUCCUACCAAGGCGACGAUCCAUAGCUGGUCUGAGAGGAUGAUCCGCCACACUGGGACUGAGACACGGCCCAGACUCCUACGGGAGGAAGCAGUGGGGAAUAUUGGACAAUGGGCGAAAGCCUGAUCCAGCAAUGCCGCGUGAGUGAUGAAGGCCUUAGGGUUGUAAAGCUCUUUUACCCGGGAUGAUAAUGACAGUACCGGGAGAAUAAGCUCCGGCUAACUCCGUG